RNAcentral lists this ribosomal RNA (496 nucleotides) under uncultured bacterium. RNAcentral's name for it is "partial 16S ribosomal RNA". It matches the Rfam family "Bacterial small subunit ribosomal RNA", at positions 28 to 506 of the family's 1533-position model. The record is from RNAcentral.
GACGAACGCUGGCGGCGUGCCUAAUACAUGCAAGUUGAGCGCUGAAGGUUGGUACUUGUACCAACUGGAUGAGCAGCGAACGGGUGAGUAACGCGUGGGGAAUCUGCCUUUGAGCGGGGGACAACAUUUGGAAACGAAUGCUAAUACCGCAUAAAAACUUUAAACACAAGUUUUAAGUUUGAAAGAUGCAAUUGCAUCACUCAAAGAUGAUCCCGCGUUGUAUUAGCUAGUUGGUGAGGUAAAGGCUCACCAAGGCGAUGAUACAUAGCCGACCUGAGAGGGUGAUCGGCCAAAUUGGGACUGGGACACGGCCCAAACCCCUACGGGAGGCAGCAGUAGGGAAUUUUGGGAAAUGGGAGAAAGUUUGACCGGGCAACGCCCGGGGAGUGAAGAAGUUUUUCGGAUCUUAAAACUUUUUUGGGAGGAAAAAACGUUGGUGGGGGUGGAAAGCCCAUCAAGUGACGGUAACUACCCAGAAAGGAACGGCUAACUCCUG